UACGGAGGAUGCGAGCGUUAUCCGGAUUUAUUGGGUUUAAAGGGUGCGUAGGCGGUUUUUUAAGUUAGUGGUUAAACGUCGGGGCUUCACCUUGAUUUGCCAUUAAUACUGUAAGACUCGAGUUCAGACGAGGUAGGCGGAAUAAGUUAAGUAGCGGUGAAAUGCUUAGAUAUAACUUAGAACUCCGAUAGCGAAGGCAGCUUACCAGACUGCGACUGACGCUGAAGCACGAGAGCGUGGGUAGCAAACAGG
RNAcentral lists this ribosomal RNA (252 nucleotides) under uncultured bacterium. Its description in RNAcentral is "partial 16S ribosomal RNA". It matches the Rfam family "Bacterial small subunit ribosomal RNA", at positions 524 to 776 of the family's 1533-position model. The record is from RNAcentral.